UACGAAGGGGGCGAGCGUUGUUCGGAUUCAUUGGGCGUAAAGGGUGCGUAGGCGGCGCGGUAAGUCGGGUGUGAAAUCUUGGAGCUUAACUCCGAAACUGCACUCGAUACUGCUUUGCUUGAGGACUGGAGAGGAGAUUGGAAUUCACGGUGUAGCAGUGAAAUGCGUAGAUAUCGUGAGGAAGACCAGUGGCGAAGGCGGAUCUCUGGACAGUUCCUGACGCUGAGACGCGAAGGCCAGGGGAGCAAACGGG
RNAcentral lists this ribosomal RNA (253 nucleotides) under uncultured bacterium. Its description in RNAcentral is "partial 16S ribosomal RNA". It matches the Rfam family "Bacterial small subunit ribosomal RNA", at positions 524 to 776 of the family's 1533-position model. The record is from RNAcentral.